Molecule: long non-coding RNA, 414 nt
Filed under: Helianthus annuus (common sunflower)
Lineage: Eukaryota; Viridiplantae; Streptophyta; Magnoliopsida; Asterales; Asteraceae
Description: hypothetical non coding rna
Source: RNAcentral
GGGUCACCGCACUGAAGACUGUUGGGGUAAGGGAAACCGAAACGGAAAUGGAAACCGCACUGGUGCUGGAAACAACGGUGGGAACGGUAAUGGCAAUGGUAAUCGAGUUGGGAAUGAAGCCGGGCGAAACCAAGGAUGCUUCAGUUGUGGAAGCAAUGAACAUUUCAUGAAAGACUGCCCGAAGAGAAACAACGCUCAAGCUUGAGCAUUUGUGAUUGGAGCAAGGGACGCACGCGAGGACCCUAACAUGGUCACUGGUAAUUAGAAGUGGAUGUGCGUGCGGUCCUACUCAUGCUUAUGGAUGUCAUCUAUGUUAUGUUUAAACAAAGUUGUAAACUUUUAAGACAAUGUUCAUGCUAUCUCGCGAUGUAAACGCUAAACUUAUGUUUUCAAGUUAUGAAAUGUUUAGUAUUU